GUCGCACGACAGGGGAGCGUCCAAAGGAAGCUGAGAGUGCGCAAACGCGCAGACCCUCGAACCUGAUUCGGUUAGUACCGACGCAGGGAGUCAACCACAUACAGAC
RNAcentral lists this non-coding RNA (106 nucleotides) under Boudabousia marimammalium. Its description in RNAcentral is "Actinomyces marimammalium TPP sequence". It matches the Rfam family "TPP riboswitch aptamer (THI element)". From Rfam's summary of the family: Vitamin B(1) in its active form thiamin pyrophosphate (TPP) is an essential coenzyme that is synthesised by coupling of pyrimidine and thiazole moieties in bacteria. The previously detected thiamin-regulatory element, thi box was extended, resulting in a new, highly conserved RNA secondary structure, the THI element, which is widely distributed in eubacteria and also occurs in some archaea. Analysis of operon structures identified a large number of new candidate thiamin-regulated genes, mostly transporters, in various prokaryotic organisms. Lineage: Bacteria; Bacillati; Actinomycetota; Actinomycetes; Actinomycetales; Actinomycetaceae. The record is from Rfam by way of RNAcentral.